This 433-nucleotide ribosomal RNA is filed under the name uncultured bacterium. Its description in RNAcentral is "partial 16S ribosomal RNA". It matches the Rfam family "Bacterial small subunit ribosomal RNA", at positions 29 to 507 of the family's 1533-position model. The record is from RNAcentral.
AAUGAACGCUGGCGGCAGGCCUAACACAUGCAAGUCGAGCGAGCAUUUCGGUGCUAGCGGCGGACGGGUGAGUAACGCGUGGGAACGUGCCCUUUUCUGCGGAAUAGUCCUGGGAAACUGGGGGUAAUACCGCAUACGCCCUUUUGGGGAAAGAUUUAUCGGAGAAGGAUCGGCCCGCGUUGGAUUAGGUAGUUGGUGGGGUAAUGGCCCACCAAGCCGACGAUCCAUAGCUGGUUUGAGAGGAUGAUCAGCCACACUGGGACUGAGACACGGCCCAGACUCCUACGGGAGGCAGCAGUGGGGAAUCUUAGACAAUGGGAGCAACCCUGAUCUAGCCAUGCCGCGUGAGUGAUGAAGGCCUUAGGGUUGUAAAGCUCUUUCAGCUGGGAAGAUAAUGACGGUACCAGCAGAAGAAGCCCCGGCUAACUCCGUG